Nyctereutes procyonoides (raccoon dog) is the source of this 304-nucleotide long non-coding RNA. RefSeq lists it as uncharacterized. NCBI's taxonomy places the organism in Eukaryota, Metazoa, Chordata, Mammalia, Carnivora, Canidae. The transcript is spliced from 3 exons. The record is from RefSeq and is a predicted model, not a curated record.
CCCGCGCUAGCUCUCCAGCCCGCUGGAGGGACGCGUCCAGGGUAUUCACUAGAUCCAGCCGCUGGCCCCUUGAAUCUGCUCCCCCUCAGCAGCGGUGGCGCGGAGGGCAGGAGGUGUCUGGUCAGCGGGUAUCGGAGGAUCGUGCGGGUAGCAAAGGGAUGGCGAGUGCCCCUGCAGCCCCAGACAACAACCAGGUGUCCUUUUUCUCUGGAUGCUUUGAAGAUCCUUCUUUGAUUAUUGCUUGAUGCUAAAAGCUUUUUGUUGUCAUUCUCUAUAUGUUCCUUUAUUUAUGAAUGGAAAAAGU